This is a long non-coding RNA of Dendroctonus ponderosae (mountain pine beetle), 391 nucleotides long. RefSeq lists it as uncharacterized. NCBI's taxonomy places the organism in Eukaryota, Metazoa, Arthropoda, Insecta, Coleoptera, Curculionidae. The transcript has 2 exons. The record is from RefSeq and is a predicted model, not a curated record.
CUAGUCAAAUUUGACAAUUAUUUUGAUUAUAUAUCAUUGUGAUUUGUUUUGUCCAGUUCUACUCAGCUUUUGCAAGACUUUAAACCAAUGGAAACCCAUUGAAAAGUGUUUUUUACAGGUGGAGACAUUUUCAAACUGCCCCGAAAAAGCGAAUUUCAAACAGUUUGUUGCCCGUUCGGUGAUUAACAGCACCCAAAUUGACUGGUUUGUUACCAAAUAUCCCCGUGCAAGUUCGCUUAAACUUUCUGUAGAACUAGUUCUACAAGUGAAAUGUUACCUGUGAGGAAAUGGGCUUAUGAUGGCUGGGAGCCACUAUGGGACUGUCCAACUGAGGUACAGGUGGUGUGGAAAACUCAAACAAACCCAUCCCUGGACUAAAAUUGAUAUCCUU